RNAcentral lists this unclassified non-coding RNA (221 nucleotides) under Hevea brasiliensis (rubber tree). The record is from RNAcentral. Lineage: Eukaryota; Viridiplantae; Streptophyta; Magnoliopsida; Malpighiales; Euphorbiaceae.
CAAACAAUCUAUGGACUUCUAGACCAGAGAAAUGAAAGUCUAAUACCUGAUAUUGAGCUCAAAAGCAUAGAUUUUGAUAUGAGAAAAGAAUUCCCAAACUCAAACUUUCCUCUGAAUUUGAAAACCCAGAAAGUGGUUUUUGGGGAAACUCAUAUCCCAACUUCCCUUCUGUAACCCAGAAGCUGAUAAUACAGAGGCAAAAAUCACCACCACAUGUGUUC